AAAAAAAAAUCACAGGGGAGAUACCAUGAUCACGAAGGUGGUUUUCCCAGGGCGAGGCUUAUCCAUUGCACUCCGGAUGUGCUGACCCCUGCGAUUUCCCCAAAUGUGGGAAACUUGACUGCAUAAUUUGUGGUAGUGUGGGACUGCGUUCGCGCUCUCCCCUA
Erinaceus europaeus (western European hedgehog) is the source of this 164-nucleotide small nuclear RNA. Its record names the gene U1. It matches the Rfam family "U1 spliceosomal RNA". From Rfam's summary of the family: U1 is a small nuclear RNA (snRNA) component of the spliceosome (involved in pre-mRNA splicing). Its 5' end forms complementary base pairs with the 5' splice junction, thus defining the 5' donor site of an intron. The record is from Ensembl. NCBI's taxonomy places the organism in Eukaryota, Metazoa, Chordata, Mammalia, Eulipotyphla, Erinaceidae.